AGCGAAUAGAUACCCGGGUAGUCCACGCCCUAAACGAUCUCAACUGGCUAUUCGGAGUAUCGACCCUCUGAGUGGCGAAAGCUAACGCGUUAAGUUGAGCGCCUGGGUAGUACGGCCGCAAGGCUAAAACUCAAAGGAAUAGACGGGGGCUUGCACAAGCGGUGGAGCGUGUGGCUUAAUUCGUCGCUAAGCGAAGAACCUUACCAGGGCUAGAAAUCCUACUGCACGUCCUAGGAAACUAGGAAAGCCUUCGAGGGUGUAGGACAGGUGAUGCAUGGCUGUCGUCAGUUCGUGGUUUGAAUCGUUCCCUUCAGUGGGGUAACGAACGCAACCCUCGUUGCCUGUUACACGUAUCAGGCGAGACUGCCCCCUCACGGGGGAGGAAGGUGAGGAUGACGCCAAGUCAGCAUGUCCCUCUGAUGUCCUGGGCUGCACACGCGCUACAAUCGCCACUACAGCGGGGCGCAAUGGAGUAAUCCGGAGCAAAUCCUCAAAAGUGGCGCCAGUUCGGAUUGAGGUCUGCAACUCGACCUC
RNAcentral lists this ribosomal RNA (534 nucleotides) under uncultured bacterium. Its description in RNAcentral is "bacterial SSU rRNA". It matches the Rfam family "Bacterial small subunit ribosomal RNA", at positions 771 to 1319 of the family's 1533-position model. The record is from RNAcentral.